Molecule: transfer RNA, 72 nt
Filed under: Capra hircus (goat)
Lineage: Eukaryota; Metazoa; Chordata; Mammalia; Artiodactyla; Bovidae
Also listed under: 1 other name
Rfam family: tRNA
About the family: Transfer RNA (tRNA) molecules are approximately 80 nucleotides in length. Their secondary structure includes four short double-helical elements and three loops (D, anti-codon, and T loops).
Source: Rfam by way of RNAcentral
UCCCUGGUAGCUCAGAUGGUAAAGCAUCUGCCUGCAAUGCAAGAGACCUGGGUUCAAUCCCUGGAUGGGGAA